UACGAAGGUCCCAAGCGUUAUCCGGAUUUAUUGGGCUUAAAGGGUGCGUAGGCGGGUUAUUAAGUCAGUGGUGAAAGCUCCUAGCUCAACUGGGAAAUUGCCAUUGAUACUGAUGAUCUUGAGUAUGAUUGAGGUUGGCGGAAUGUGUCAUGUAGCGGUGAAAUGCUUAGAUAUGACACAGAACACCGAUUGCGAAGGCAGCUAACUAAGUCAUAACUGACGCUGAUGCACGAAAGCGUGGGGAGCAAACAGG
RNAcentral lists this ribosomal RNA (253 nucleotides) under uncultured bacterium. Its description in RNAcentral is "partial 16S ribosomal RNA". It matches the Rfam family "Bacterial small subunit ribosomal RNA", at positions 524 to 776 of the family's 1533-position model. The record is from RNAcentral.